RNAcentral lists this transfer RNA (71 nucleotides) under Camelus bactrianus (Bactrian camel). It matches the Rfam family "tRNA". Rfam says of the family: Transfer RNA (tRNA) molecules are approximately 80 nucleotides in length. Their secondary structure includes four short double-helical elements and three loops (D, anti-codon, and T loops). Lineage: Eukaryota; Metazoa; Chordata; Mammalia; Artiodactyla; Camelidae. RNAcentral also lists the same sequence under 2 other names. The record is from Rfam by way of RNAcentral.
GAGGGUACAGCUCAGUGGUAGAGUGUGUGUUUAGCAUGUAUGAGGUUCUGGGUUCAAUCCCAGUACCGCCA